Molecule: ribosomal RNA, 490 nt
Filed under: uncultured bacterium
Lineage: Bacteria
Description: bacterial SSU rRNA
Rfam family: Bacterial small subunit ribosomal RNA
Source: RNAcentral
AAAGGAAUUGACGGGGGCCCGCACAAGCGGUGGAUUAUGUGGUUUAAUUCGAUGAUACGCGAGGAACCUUACCAAGACUUAAAUGGGAAUUGACAGGUUUAGAAAUAAACCCUCCUUCGGGCAAUUUCCAAGGUGCUGCAUGGUUGUCGUCAGCUCGUGCCGUGAGGUGUUAGGUUAAGUCCUGCAACGAGCGCAACCCCUGUCACUAGUUGCUAACAUUUAGUUGAGGACUCUAGUGAGACUGCCUACGCAAGUAGAGAGGAAGGUGGGGAUGACGUCAAAUCAUCACGGCCCUUACGUCUUGGGCCACACACGUAAUACAAUGGCCGGUACAGAGGGCAGCUACCUAGCGAUAGGAUGCAAAUCUCGAAAGCCGGUCUCAGUUCGGAUUGGAGUCUGCAACUCGACUCUAUGAAGCUGGAAUCGCUAGUAAUCGCGCAUCAGCCAUGGCGCGGUGAAUACGUUCCCGGGCCUUGUACACACCGCCCGU